AACCAAAUGUAUUUCUGAAACCCCUUUUUGCAUCAUCAAUAGUUGAAGAUGUUCCAACGUUCGUAGAUGACCCUCAGGGUCAUAUAACAACCAGAGUUGCUGUAGAGUGGACAUGAGUUCAACACUCAGGAGUCAAUGUCUUAUCUUUUGUCUUUUUCAUAGCCUGAGAGAGAAUAUAUUCCAAUAUUUUUUUUUUUUAAUCUACACAUUUUAUUAUGGAUUUUAUUUUUUGGGACUUACGCCGAAAAUAGUGGGAUGUUGAAGGGCUACGUAAAGGACCAGGCGCAGUUUGCUUCUGAGAAUCCCUGUCUAUCCCCGUCUAACUGUCGCUUCCCAAUCAAUUAUGUCCGGUAGCCUCUGGAUAUCCUGCGAACGUUAGAUAAUAUUAACAUGUUAUACGAUAUAUAUACACAUUUUUAAAAUUACAGGAAUGUGGGCAUUUUACAUAAAAUAAAAUAAAUCGCUGUCAUCGGUUUAAAACACAACUCCUGUUUAAUAUUACAAUAAUAUCCAUAAUAUUCAAACAAUUCCCAGAGUCCAAAUCUUAAAAUAUAUUUUUUUCACGAACUCACCUUCUGAAAGCUCCAUUAGGAUGGAUUAACAGACUCUUUUUCUCUGUCCUGGCCGAUAAAUAUUCGGGGCUGUUGACCUGUUGGCUUGUAGCUGCGCUAAAGCGGUGCUAACAGGGUGGGAAAGUAUAUGCUUCACUAGACUCGUUCGCGGUCAUGGCUCAAAACGAGAGAAAGUACGGAAUUAGUUUACGGGGCAUUGUGGUGAUGUUUUUUUACGGGCGAUAUCAUGUAUGCAACACCCUGUAUAUUUGGUUUAGAGAACUAAGGCAGUGAAUUCAAACAACAGGAGGGGUGACGAGACAUUUUGUAUGCAUGUAUUUCCUGCAUCCUCAGGGUUAGCACCUUGGGGGGUGUCCGCACACCCACAUGGAUUUUCCGUGUCUUUUUCUUAGCGACAGACCGGGGUGAUAGAUGGAAAGGACAUAUUCCUAUCGUUAAAAGACAUUGCAUUUCUCCGCGACAGACCGGGCGAGAGAAAACAAGAGAUCCCCUUUCGUUAAAGGAUAUAGGUCCUGGUUAGCCCUGACCUGCAUCCGUUUCCAAUUCCCCCUACGCCAUGACAUUCUUGCACGCUCCAUCAAAGCUCCGUAACUUUUCCCUCCAUGGGUAGAUAAUCUGUCCGGCAUAUAGGUCCUAAUUAAUAAGAUGGGUAGAAAAUGAAUCUGUUUAAGUCAUAACUAAAGGCCUUUCAUAAAGAGGCUGUCAUGAUUGACUGUGACACAUAUUUAACACGUAUUGCUUGUUAACGAAGACUACUGUUGUACAUUGAAUAUCCACUAGCAGAUUGUUGUUGCAUCUCCACUAUAUCUGUCAUGUUACUGUGGUCUUUUUAAAAGUCAAUAAACAUGUGUGUAGAUUAUA
Long non-coding RNA from Oncorhynchus tshawytscha (Chinook salmon), 1433 nucleotides. RefSeq lists it as uncharacterized. The record is from RefSeq and is a predicted model, not a curated record. NCBI's taxonomy places the organism in Eukaryota, Metazoa, Chordata, Actinopteri, Salmoniformes, Salmonidae. The transcript is spliced from 3 exons.